Molecule: ribosomal RNA, 1037 nt
Filed under: Salmonella enterica subsp. enterica serovar Pomona
Lineage: Bacteria; Pseudomonadati; Pseudomonadota; Gammaproteobacteria; Enterobacterales; Enterobacteriaceae
Description: bacterial SSU rRNA
Rfam family: Bacterial small subunit ribosomal RNA
Source: RNAcentral
AAAUUGAAGAGUUUGAUCAUGGCUCAGAUUGAACGCUGGCGGCAGGCCUAACACAUGCAAGUCGAACGGUAACAGGAAGCAGCUUGCUGCUUUGCUGACGAGUGGCGGACGGGUGAGUAAUGUCUGGGAAACUGCCUGAUGGAGGGGGAUAACUACUGGAAACGGUGGCUAAUACCGCAUAACGUCGCAAGACCAAAGAGGGGGACCUUCGGGCCUCUUGCCAUCAGAUGUGCCCAGAUGGGAUUAGCUUGUUGGUGAGGUAACGGCUCACCAAGGCGACGAUCCCUAGCUGGUCUGAGAGGAUGACCAGCCACACUGGAACUGAGACACGGUCCAGACUCCUACGGGAGGCAGCAGUGGGGAAUAUUGCACAAUGGGCGCAAGCCUGAUGCAGCCAUGCCGCGUGUAUGAAGAAGGCCUUCGGGUUGUAAAGUACUUUCAGCGGGGAGGAAGGUGUUGUGGUUAAUAACCGCAGCAAUUGACGUUACCCGCAGAAGAAGCACCGGCUAACUCCGUGCCAGCAGCCGCGGUAAUACGGAGGGUGCAAGCGUUAAUCGGAAUUACUGGGCGUAAAGCGCACGCAGGCGGUCUGUCAAGUCGGAUGUGAAAUCCCCGGGCUCAACCUGGGAACUGCAUUCGAAACUGGCAGGCUUGAGUCUUGUAGAGGGGGGUAGAAUUCCAGGUGUAGCGGUGAAAUGCGUAGAGAUCUGGAGGAAUACCGGUGGCGAAGGCGGCCCCCUGGACAAAGACUGACGCUCAGGUGCGAAAGCGUGGGGAGCAAACAGGAUUAGAUACCCUGGUAGUCCACGCCGUAAACGAUGUCUACUUGGAGGUUGUGCCCUUGAGGCGUGGCUUCCGGAGCUAACGCGUUAAGUAGACCGCCUGGGGAGUACGGCCGCAAGGUUAAAACUCAAAUGAAUUGACGGGGGCCCGCACAAGCGGUGGAGCAUGUGGUUUAAUUCGAUGCAACGCGAAGAACCUUACCUGGUCUUGACAUCCACGGAAGAAUUCAGAGAUGGAUUUGUGCCUUCGGGAAC